This 523-nucleotide long non-coding RNA is filed under the name Mytilus galloprovincialis (Mediterranean mussel). Lineage: Eukaryota; Metazoa; Mollusca; Bivalvia; Mytilida; Mytilidae. The record is from RNAcentral.
GUCUAUGGUGGCCGGUGAAGUUCAUUUCGCGUUUUCGCGAUUUCGCCUUUUAUAUUCUAUAGGGCGAAAACGCGAAAUCGCGAAAAGGCGCAAUCGAGAAUUGGAAAACGCGAAGUCGAAAACGAGAAAUCGGUUUCGCGUUUUCGACUUCGCAAUUUCGCGUUUUCGCCAUAUAGAAUAUGUAAGGCGAAAACGCUAAAGCGCUAAAACGCAAAAUGGCAUUAACCUGCCACCAUAGUUGUCCGCAUGUAAACUUCUAGAAUUUGUCACCAAUAUAAGUACAUCGCAAUCCGUUACUGUUUCAACAGCCAUCGGUGUUUCAUGUGUGUAUUCUUAAACAAGUAUUAUUUUUCUCUCGUUUUUAGCAAUGUAUCACUCUCUACUGUCCUUAUAUAUUAUUCUAUAUUCUGUGUUUCCAUCCAGAUUCUCGUGUAUCCGGAUUGGGGGUAUUGUUUAUUUCUGUAUUCUUUAAAUUGUUAUGCCAUUUUUUUCUACAUUUUAUUUAUCUUACUCAUUAUUCUUU